RNAcentral lists this ribosomal RNA (489 nucleotides) under uncultured bacterium. RNAcentral describes it as "bacterial SSU rRNA". It matches the Rfam family "Bacterial small subunit ribosomal RNA", at positions 9 to 518 of the family's 1533-position model. The record is from RNAcentral.
GAGUUGAUCAUGGCUCAGGACGAACGCUGGCGGCGUGCUUCAUACAUGCAAGUCGAACGAGAAACUGACUUCGGUCAGUGGAAAGUGGCGGACGGGUGAGUAAUGUGUAGAGAAUCUGCCCUAGAGAGAGGGACAACAGUUGGAAACGACUGCUAAUACCUCAUAUGCGCGUAGCUGAGAUGCUAUUCGUGAAAACUCCGGUGCUCUAGGAUGAGUCUGCAUCUGAUUAGCUAGUUGGCGGUGUAAUGGACCACCAAGGCGACGAUCAGUAGCUGGUUUGAGAGGAUGAUCAGCCACAAUGGGACUGAGACACGGCCCAUACUCCUACGGGAGGCAGCAGUAGGGAAUUUUGCGCAAUGGGGGAAACCCUGAACCGCAGCAACGCCGCGUGAACGAAUAAGCCCUUCGGGGUGUAAAGUUCUGUCAGUAGGGACGAAACUUGACGGUACCUACAGAGGAAGCAUCGGCUAACUCCGUGCCAGCAGCUGC